This 703-nucleotide ribosomal RNA is filed under the name uncultured archaeon. Its description in RNAcentral is "bacterial SSU rRNA". It matches the Rfam family "Archaeal small subunit ribosomal RNA", at positions 1 to 710 of the family's 1478-position model. The record is from RNAcentral.
AUUCCGGUUGAUCCUGCCGGACCUGACUGCUAUCGGAUUGAUACUAAGCCAUGCGAGUCAUUGUAGCAAUACAAGGCAUACGGCUCAGUAACGCGUAGUCAACCUAACCUAUGGACGGGAAUAACCUCGGGAGACUGAGAAUAAUGCCCGAUAGAACACUAUACCUGGAAUGGUUUGUGUUCCAAAUGAUUUAUCGCCGUAGGAUGGGACUGCGGCCUAUCAGUUUGUUGGUGAGGUAAUGGCCCACCAAGACUAUUACAGGUACGGGCUCUGAGAGGAGUAGCCCGGAGAUGGGUACUGAGACACGGACCCAGGCCCUAUGGGGCGCAGCAGGCGAGAAAACUUUGCAAUGUGCGAAAGCACGACAAGGUUAAUCCGAGUGAUUUGUGCUAAACGAAUCUUUUGUUAGUUCUAGAAAUACUAACGAAUAAGGGGUGGGCAAGUUCUGGUGUCAGCCGCCGCGGUAAAACCAGCACCUCAAGUGGUCAGGAUGAUUAUUGGGCCUAAAGCAUCCGUAGCCGGCUCUGUAAGUUUUCGGUUAAAUCUGUACGCUUAACGUACAGGCUGCCGGGAAUACUGCGGAGCUAGGGAGUGGGAGAGGUAGACGGUACUCGGUAGGAAGGGGUAAAAUCCUUUGAUCCAUUGAUGACCACCUGUGGCGAAGGCGGUCUACCAGAACACGUCCGACGGUGAGGGAUGAAAG